RNAcentral lists this transfer RNA (72 nucleotides) under Camelus bactrianus (Bactrian camel). It matches the Rfam family "tRNA". Rfam says of the family: Transfer RNA (tRNA) molecules are approximately 80 nucleotides in length. Their secondary structure includes four short double-helical elements and three loops (D, anti-codon, and T loops). Lineage: Eukaryota; Metazoa; Chordata; Mammalia; Artiodactyla; Camelidae. The record is from Rfam by way of RNAcentral. RNAcentral also lists the same sequence under 2 other names.
CAGGGUGUAGCUCAGUGGUAGAGCACUGGCUUAGCAUGCACGAAGUCCUGGGUUCAAUCCCCAGUUCCCUCG